Molecule: ribosomal RNA, 105 nt
Filed under: Mollicutes bacterium
Lineage: Bacteria; Bacillati; Mycoplasmatota; Mollicutes
Source: RNAcentral
AUUGGUGACUAUAGCGAAGUGGAAUCACCUGUUCCCAUUCCGAACACAGUAGUUAAGCACUUCAGCGCUGAAAAUAGUGUAAGCGAAGAUAGGACGUUGCCAAUA